UCCUACGGGACGCAGCAGUGGGGAAUAUUGGACAAUGGGGGAAACUCUGAUCCAGCGACGCCGCGUGAGCGAAGAAGUAUUUCGGUAUGUAAAGCUCUAUCAGCAGGGAAGAAAAUGACGGUACCUGACUAAGAAGCCCCGGCUAACUACGUGCCAGCAGCCGCGGUAAUACGUAGGGGGCAAGCGUUAUCCGGAUUUACUGGGUGUAAAGGGAGCGUAGACGGCAUAGCAAGUCUGAUGUGAAAGAUCGGGGAUCAACCCCGGGCCUGCAUUGGAAACUGUUAAGCUGGAGUAGAGGAGAGGGA
This 305-nucleotide ribosomal RNA is filed under the name uncultured bacterium. RNAcentral's name for it is "bacterial SSU rRNA". It matches the Rfam family "Bacterial small subunit ribosomal RNA", at positions 337 to 659 of the family's 1533-position model. The record is from RNAcentral.